AUUGAACGCUGGCGGCAUGCCUUACACAUGCAAGUCGAACGGUAACAGGUCUUCGGUUGCUGACGAGUGGCGAACGGGUGAGUAAUACAUCGGAACGUGCCCGAUCGUGGGGGAUAACGAGGCGAAAGCUUUGCUAAUACCGCAUACGAUCUACGGAUGAACGCGGGGGAUCUUCGGACCUCGCGCGGGCGGAGCGGCCGAGGGCAGAUUAGGUAGUUGGUGGGAUAAAAGCUUACCAAGCCGACGAUCUGUAGCUGGUCUGAGAGGAUGAUCAGCCACACUGGGACUGAGACACGGCCCAGACUCCUACGGGAGGCAGCAGUCGGGAAUUUUGGACAAUGGGCGAAAGCCUGAUCCAGCCAUGCCGCGUGCAGGAUGAAGGCCUUCGGGUUGUAAACUGCUUUUGUACGGAACGAAAAGCCUCUUUCUAAUAAAGAGGGGUCAUGACGGCACCGUAAGAAUAAGCACCGGCUAACUACGUG
RNAcentral lists this ribosomal RNA (482 nucleotides) under uncultured bacterium. RNAcentral describes it as "partial 16S ribosomal RNA". It matches the Rfam family "Bacterial small subunit ribosomal RNA", at positions 30 to 507 of the family's 1533-position model. The record is from RNAcentral.